Struthio camelus australis is the source of this 306-nucleotide non-coding RNA. Lineage: Eukaryota; Metazoa; Chordata; Aves; Struthioniformes; Struthionidae. The record is from RefSeq and is a predicted model, not a curated record.
CAUGUCAGCAGAAUUUACUGUGGGUUCUCCAAGAUAAGCGAAGUAGGAUCAGCGAUAAACCAUGUCCUCCAGUUGCAGGAGAAGUGGCACUGCAGUUUCCCGAUGCCUUGGAACCCAGAAGGAAAAACAAGGAGGAGAGUGCCACAAGAGCAAUGGUUAAAGUAUUCAGCUGAAGAAGAGGACCCAAGAUAACGUACUUUUAGUGUCAUAUAUAUGGUGCAAAAGAAUAUGCUACACAGCAUUUGUAAAUGCCCUUGAGCUAAGAAAAUGUCCUACAGAUUUUGAUUAAAGGUCACUAAUCCUAAA